GAAUAGGUAAGCUAAUUUUUAAGCUAUUGGGCUCAUAACCCAACAAUGGAAUUAUUCCCUUAUUUA
RNAcentral lists this transfer RNA (66 nucleotides) under Berghia stephanieae. Its description in RNAcentral is "tRNA-Met". Lineage: Eukaryota; Metazoa; Mollusca; Gastropoda; Nudibranchia; Aeolidiidae. The record is from RNAcentral.